CCUUUUCCCUGAAAGCUUUCAGGAAGUUCAGGUCUUUUAAGCACUAGCUGCCUGGACUCCUUGCUGGGCGCCGGCAGUAAACGCUGCACUUUCCCUCAGCACAGUCUGGCGUCAGUGGAUUGGAGUUACUGUGUGCGGGCGAGUGGACCCAAGUUUGGUUUGGUAACAGUUUGACUGAAAGAUAAGCCUGCACCAGGCAUUCUGCUCCAGGUAGACGCCCCUGGACACGAGGACUCCUGGCCACCAGAGGCUUGGACAGCAAGGUUAGUAAUUGCCAAAAAGACUCUUCAUAAUUGCUGAAAGCUGGAAACAGCCCACUGUCCAUUGGCAGGUGGACCAAUAAAUAAAUUGGGGCCACUCUGGACAAUGUCCUUCCAUCCAAGAAGAGGCGCAAACUGCCAAUUCCUGCAACAGCUGAAUCUCAGAACCAUUAAACUGAGCAAAGGGGCCAGACAUAAAGCACUACCUACUGUGUGACCCCAUUUGUGUGAAGUUCCAGGAGCAGCCUAAUUUACAGCGAUUGCUGGAUCAUACAGUCGUGAGACAGCUGAAUCUUCCUGGGAAUUGUCUUCACUGGGCAUCUGAGAAGAUCCCAGGGUCCAGGUUGAGUUAAGCUUCUGUGAUGAGCCCUCUGGAAAUUCAGCCACAGCUUGAAGCUCCUCUUAGAUCUUUGGAUUCUGCAGAAAGUGAUGCUCAAGACUCUCAAAUUGCUACAAACUAGCCUGGAAAGAACUGUAGAGUCCAGAAAGAGUGAAAAAAAAAUCCAAACUUCAACCAACUGUGGUGAGAGAAAGAACUAACCUCUAUAUUUAAUUUUUUGAGGAACUGCCAGACUGUCUUCCGCAGUGGCUGCACCGAUUUACAUUCUCACCAGCAGUCUGCGAGGGUUCCAAUUUCUCCACAUCCUCGCCAGCACUUGUGUUUUUGCUUUUUAUAACAGCCUUCCUAGAGGGUGUGAAGUGGAGUCUCGUUGUGGUUUUGAUUUGCAUGUCCCUAACGACUUACAACUUCCUAAAAGAUGUUGAGCAUCUUUUUACGUGCUUGUUGGCCAUUUGUGUAUCUUCUUCGGAGAAACAUCGAUAGAGGAGUCAUUUCCAGUAGAGAGAGGAUGUCAGCUCAGACUAGAGUAAGAGCAGGAAGGUAAUGUGAAGUGGCAGUUUCUAGUAUUUUUCAAAGAUGGAACGGAUAGGGACUGCUGAUGGACUAGAGUGAACAUGGGAGAAAAGGAGGUGUUCAGGUGUUCUCCAGGGUCCUGCAGGGUUUGGCCUGAGCAAUUAGUGGGCUGGGGAAGGCUUUGAGGAAGCCGACUUGAAGGGAGGGAGAGAAGUUUUGUUGGAGUCUCAGAUCCCUGGAACUUGAGAAUUGAAGUCUUCAGAGGAAUUUAUUGCUUCAAGAAAGUGGGCAGACAGAGAAGAAGAGAGGGCUCCUAUCUUUCCCCACCAAGGUGCUUGUCAGAAUCCUCCAUGAUCAUUGUUUCACUUUAUCAAUUUCUUACCAGCUUGGGUCCUCUCCAAUUUCAUUCCUAGUUUGAGAGGUGGGACUGUUCCGAGACUGAAGAUACAUCUGUAGCCAGUAGGUGGCACUCUGGUGCCAGAAAGAGCCAGAAUCCCGCUGGCUGAGCAGGACCAAGAACCGAAGUUUUCAAAUCACUGAAAUGUGUGAAAGUGCAGUUCUAGAAUCUUAGCAUCAGCCAAUUCAAAAACUCAAGACAGGAAUGCCACACUGAGCUCUGUGAAGGGGAGGUUCCAGUGAGAAACCGGUUUUAAGAGGUGUUUACCUCUGUGGCAUAUGCAUGAGUGAAUGCCUCGCCAGUCAGUGACUGUAUUCGUUGCGCACCUACUAUGUGCUACGAGCUGUGUUAAAUGCGGUGGAUUCAGCCUUGACCAGGACAGACUUAGUACCUGCCUCGAAGAGUUUGGAGGCGGCAGCAUCAACAUCAACAAAGAAAUAAAAGACGAAGACCGUUAUAGAUUGUUAUCAAGGACAUAAACGGGAUGAUGUGAUGAAGAAGAUGGAAGGAGAGGGAAGGAGGAAUCAUAAGGAUUUCUCUGAAAAAGAGUUCUGCUACUAAAUAGAGAGGUUUCGAGGCUGUGACGGUUCCCGCUGGCUCCCGCGGUCUGUGAUGAGCGUCAGCUGCUGUCAUCCUCAAGUUACACUCCGUGACCCGUCCGCCCUCAACUCCCUGCAGCCUCCCCCGCCCAUCUCACCCUGGGCCUUUGCACAUGUUCCCUGCUCUCCUCCACCUCCUCGCUUGGUCGCCUGGCAACCUCGGCUCAUCCUUUAAGCCACAACUCAGGUAACUUCUUCUUCUGCCAGCCUUCCGGAUCUGCCCCAGACCUGCUGAAAGGCCUCCUCAGGGCUGCCACGGAUUACAAACUAUCUCCUUUCACAGUGCUUAUAGUACCAUUGUAAUUGCUUAUACACUUGCUUGUCUAUCAUCAGAGAAGGCCUGAGUUUAAAUUCCAGUUCUGCCCCUUCCCAGCUGUGUGGCCCUGAGUGAGUGACCUAACCUGUCUGUGCUUCAGUUUCUACAUCUCUAAAAUAGUGUCAGUGAACACAAAAUGCUUGCUGUGUGCCAGUCCCUGUCAUAUGUGCUUCAUUUAUUUAUUUAAUCCAUGCAACAUCCCUGAGAUUGGUACAAACCCAUUUAUUUUUAUGUUAAACAAAUGAGAAAACUGAGGCACAGAGAGGUUAAGUAACUUGCCUAAGGUCACACAGCUUGUAAGUGGCAAGGCCAGUACUGAAACCAUGCAGUCCAACCGUGGAGAGAUUCUACUGCCUUGCAGAAGAUACCUCAGCAGAUGCUGUGAGGGUAAUAUGAGUAAAUAAACAAAGUUGCUUGGCGUAUAGUAAGUACUCAAUAAAUGUUCACUGUCUACAUUUCCCAGUGUUCCCUUCUCUGUCAGUUUAUGCUUAGGGAUUUAAACCUGGGGAUUUAAAAUAGGAAGCGGGCAUUUAAAAUUUUUAAUUUUUAUUUAUUUAUUUUUAAAAAUCGGGGAAGGGGAGGUAAUUAGGUUUGUUUGUUUAUUUAAUGGAGGUACUAGGGAUUGAACCCAAGUCCUCAUGCAUGCUAAGCACACACUCUACCACUGAGCUAUACCUUCCCCCCAGAACCAGGCAUAUUUUUAGAGUUUUUUUCGUACCCUGUUUCCGAUUUACAUGUCAGCACUGGAUGGGGCAUGAAAUAGUGAGGACAAUCAUAAUAGCUAGCACUUAUUAAAUACUUACUAAAUGUCACUCUGCUAAUGUAUUUUUUAAAAUAGAUUUGAUUUUCUUAAGGCAGUUUUCGGUUCACGGUAAAAUUAAGCAGAAGUUACAGAGAUCUCUCAUAUAUCCC
Molecule: long non-coding RNA, 3337 nt
Organism: Camelus dromedarius (Arabian camel)
Lineage: Eukaryota; Metazoa; Chordata; Mammalia; Artiodactyla; Camelidae
Exons: 3
Source: RefSeq, a predicted model, not a curated record